Molecule: ribosomal RNA, 468 nt
Filed under: uncultured bacterium
Lineage: Bacteria
Description: partial 16S ribosomal RNA
Rfam family: Bacterial small subunit ribosomal RNA
Source: RNAcentral
GACGAACGCUGGCGGCGUGCUUAACACAUGCAAGUCGAGCGGAGAGGCCCUGCUUUUGUGCGGUGCUCGAGUGGCGAACGGGUGAGUAAAACGUGAGUAACCUGCCCUUGACUUUGGGAUAACUUCAGGAAACACGGACUCAUAUCGGGUAGGAGCACCUGAUGCAUAGGGGGGGUUGGUGAGUUGCGUCGGUUGGGGAUGCACUCGCGGCUUAUCAGCGUGUUGGUGGGGUGGUGGCGUAACGAGGCAUUGAGGGGUAGCCGGACUGGGAGUGUGACAGGCCACAAUGGGACUGAGAUACGGCCCAUACGCCUACUGGAGGCAGCGGUGGGAAAUAUUGCACAAUGGGCGGCAGCCGUAUGCAGCAACGUCGCGUGCUGGAUGACUGCUUUCGGGUUGGAACCCUCGUGCGACUGGGACGAAGAGUGAGUGACGGUAACUGGUAAAGAAGCACCGGCUAACUACGUG